AGAAUCAACGCUGGCGGCGUGCCUAACACAUGCAAGUCGAACGCGAAAGCCCCGAAAGGGGUAAGUAGAGUGGCAAACGGGUGAGUAACACGUGGGUGACCUGCCUUCGAGUGGGGGAUAACGUCCCGAAAGGGACGCUAAUACCGCAUAACAUCCUGCCUUUGAAGAGGUGGAGAUCAAAGCCGGGGACCGCAAGGCCUGGCGUUCGAAGAGGGGCCCGCGCCUGAUUAGCUAGUUGGUGGGGUAAUGGCUCACCAAGGCAACGAUCAGUA
Molecule: ribosomal RNA, 272 nt
Filed under: uncultured soil bacterium
Lineage: Bacteria
Description: partial 16S ribosomal RNA
Rfam family: Bacterial small subunit ribosomal RNA
Source: RNAcentral